CAAAAAAGAAAACAUUUCACCUGUCAAUCUGUCAUCUCUGCUGUUUCCAACGCGAAAUAUGUAAAGUGUUUUUAGUUAAGUGAUUAAUCCAACAAAUUAAAUUAAGCUAGCUCCUCAAUAAAAUAUACAGUAUAUAUAAUGAUGCAAAGACUGCGUGCAUUCUAAACGCUGGUCUAUUUUCUGGUGUUGUGCAAUAACCGGAACUUUUCCAAACUGGUUCAAGGGGAAACCGGCGCAUCAACAUCAACAACUUACUGGAAUCAAAUUUAGAACAUCCGAUGUAGCCAUCUAUCACAAGAUAAUGCAAUCAUUGGUUAGAUGCACAUUUUCGUUCUGUGAACCGAUGCACUCUGGCGAUGGAAGCAGAAUCAUCACUCUUAUCGUCAGUCGCAUAUGCAGCAUUAAAGAUUUUGGGAAGCAUCAAUGUUGCAGGUGCAUGAGAGUCGACACCUAGGCUGUUUAAUUAUUCGUACUGUAGUAGAUCUAUCACAAUCAAAUCUAAAUGGCGUUUGGUUAAUUUUGCCUGCCAGACAAUACAAAGUGUAAUGUACAAUGUAUGUAUCAGCGGAUCGACAAUUCAGCAUCGCGACAUGACCAGCCGAGAUAAGAUGUAAGAAAAAACGUAUGCUAAUAGAAAAAUACACAUAA
This is a long non-coding RNA of Armigeres subalbatus, 648 nucleotides long. RefSeq lists it as uncharacterized. The record is from RefSeq and is a predicted model, not a curated record. Lineage: Eukaryota; Metazoa; Arthropoda; Insecta; Diptera; Culicidae. The transcript is spliced from 3 exons.